AAACGACUCUCGGCAACGGAUAUCUCGGCUCUCGCAUCGAUGAAGAACGUAGCGAAAUGCGAUACUUGGUGUGAAUUGCAGAAUCCCGUGAACCAUCGAGUCUUUGAAUGCAAGUUGCGCCCCAAGCCUUCUGGCCGAGGGCACGUCUGCCUGGGUGUCACAA
Molecule: ribosomal RNA, 163 nt
Filed under: Brassica napus (rape)
Lineage: Eukaryota; Viridiplantae; Streptophyta; Magnoliopsida; Brassicales; Brassicaceae
Description: 5.8S ribosomal RNA
Rfam family: 5.8S ribosomal RNA
About the family: 5.8S ribosomal RNA (5.8S rRNA) is a component of the large subunit of the eukaryotic ribosome. It is transcribed by RNA polymerase I as part of the 45S precursor that also contains 18S and 28S rRNA.
Source: RNAcentral